This 403-nucleotide small RNA is filed under the name Pan troglodytes (chimpanzee). RNAcentral describes it as "retained intron". The record is from RNAcentral. Lineage: Eukaryota; Metazoa; Chordata; Mammalia; Primates; Hominidae.
GUCCUGGACACCUCGUGGCCCACGCCCCCACCUGCCCUGCGUGAGGCCUCAGAGCUUCUGCGGGAGUUGUGCAUAAAGAACAUGGUGUGGAAAUACUGCCGGAGUAUCAGCCCUGAGUGGAAGCAGCAGCUGCAGCAGAAGGCCGUGGCUAGUGAGAUCUUCAAGGGCAAGAAGGAUAAUUACCCUCAGAGUGUACCCAGGCUCUUCAUCAGCACUCGGCUUGGUGAGCCCCUGACUUUCCAGCACUCAGACCUUUUGUCACCAUCCUGGUCCCCCAUUGCCUCCACUGACUUCCCUCCCCGCCAUCUGAGUUGCAGGUACAGAUGAGAUCAGCCCCCGAGUGCUGCAGGCCUUGGGCUCUGAGCCCAUUCAGGUAAGAGCCUGCCUGCAGCCCUGAGUCCAG